CCUACGGGUGGCAGCAGUGGGGAAUAUUGGACAAUGGGGGGAACCCUGAUCCAGCCAUGCCGCGUGUGUGAAGAAGGCCCUCGGGUUGUAAAGCACUUUCAGUGAGGAAGAACGCCUGGUGGUUAAUACCCAUCAGGAAAGACAUCACUCACAGAAGAAGCACCGGCUAACUCCGUGCCAGCAGCCGCGGUAAUACGGAGGGUGCGAGCGUUAAUCGGAAUUACUGGGCGUAAAGCGCGCGUAGGUGGCUUGAUAAGCCGGUUGUGAAAGCCCCGGGCUCAACCUGGGAACGGCAUCCGGAACUGUCAAGCUAGAGUGCAGGAGAGGAAGGUAGAAUUCCCGGUGUAGCGGUGAAAUGCGUAGAGAUCGGGAGGAAUACCAGUGGCGAAGGCGGCCUUCUGGACUGACACUGACACUGAGGUGCGAAAGCGUGGGUAGCAAACAGGAUUAGAUAGCCCAGUAGUC
This 465-nucleotide ribosomal RNA is filed under the name Vreelandella stevensii. RNAcentral's name for it is "partial 16S ribosomal RNA". It matches the Rfam family "Bacterial small subunit ribosomal RNA", at positions 338 to 795 of the family's 1533-position model. Lineage: Bacteria; Pseudomonadati; Pseudomonadota; Gammaproteobacteria; Oceanospirillales; Halomonadaceae. The record is from RNAcentral.